RNAcentral lists this ribosomal RNA (775 nucleotides) under uncultured Neocallimastigales. RNAcentral describes it as "partial large subunit ribosomal RNA". It matches the Rfam family "Eukaryotic large subunit ribosomal RNA", at positions 22 to 637 of the family's 3401-position model. The record is from RNAcentral. Lineage: Eukaryota; Fungi; Neocallimastigomycota; Neocallimastigomycetes; Neocallimastigales.
GUACACGCUGUGACUAGCAUAUCAAUAAGCGGAGGAAAAGAAACUAACAAGGAUUCCCCUAGUAACGGCGAGUGAAGCGGGAAGAGCUCAAAUUUGAAAUCUUAAAGGGUUUCCCUUUACGAAUUGUAGUUUAAAGAAGUGUUUUCUGUUGAGGUUUUGGUAAAAGUUCUUUGGAAUAGGACAUCAUAGAGGGUGAGAAUCCCGUAUUUGACCUUUACUUUCAACUUUGUGAUACACUUUCAAAGAGUCGGAUUGUUUGGGAAUGCAGUCCAAAAUGGGUGGUAAAUUUCAUCUAAAGCUAAAUAUUGGCGAGAGACCGAUAGCGAACAAGUACCGUGAGGGAAAGAUGAAAAGAACUUUGAAAAGAGAGUUAAACAGUACGUGAAAUUGUCAAAAGGGAAGCGUUUGACACCAGUGUUGUUUUUCCUGAAAAUCAAUUAAAGAACUGUUUAUGCUAAGUUGUUUAGACUUUAUCAGCUAACUGUUUAGUUUUGAGCUUUUCUUUAAUGCACUUUUCAGUUAACAAGUCAACAUCAAUUUCUUUUGCUGUAAAAAAGCUUGAGGAAGGUGGCUUGAGAUUCGUCUUAAGUGUUUAUAGCCUCUUGCCUAUGCAGUCGGAGAGAUUGAGGUCUGCAGCGUAGAUCCUUCGGGGCUAAAUGCAUUUGUGCUAAGUUAUAGCAUUUUAUAGACAACUUGUUGACUAUGAUUUGUCUUGUAGCUUACUCGCUUAUGUUAUUUUACCUACGCUUAGGAUGUUGACAGCAGUAUAGACUGU